This 422-nucleotide long non-coding RNA is filed under the name Homo sapiens (human). RNAcentral describes it as "HSALNT0351467". The record is from RNAcentral. Lineage: Eukaryota; Metazoa; Chordata; Mammalia; Primates; Hominidae.
AGUCUACAUCUUUCACGCAUGCUGGAUGCUGCCUGCCCUCGAACAUCAGACUCCAACUUCUUCAGUUUUGGGACUUGGACUGGCUCUCCUUGCCCCUUGGCUUGUAGACAGCCUAUUGUGAGACCUUGCGAUCAUCCCGCCUUCCCCCAGGUGAAAUAAACAGCCUUGUUGCUCACACAAAGCCUGUUUGGUGGUCUCUUCACAUGGACACGCAUGAAAUUUGGUGCCGUGACUCGGAUCGAGGGACCUCCCUUGGAAGAUCAAUCCCCUGUCCUCCUGCUCUUUGCUCCGUGAAAAAGAUCCACCUAUGACCUCGAGUCCUCAGACCCACCAGCCCAAGGAACAUCUCAUCAAUUUUCAAUCCGGCUGGAGUGCAAUGGUGUGAUAUUGGCUCACUGCAACCUCCAAUUCCUGGGUUCAAU